RNAcentral lists this ribosomal RNA (275 nucleotides) under uncultured bacterium. RNAcentral's name for it is "partial 16S ribosomal RNA". It matches the Rfam family "Bacterial small subunit ribosomal RNA", at positions 399 to 691 of the family's 1533-position model. The record is from RNAcentral.
GCGUGAGUGAAGAAGGCCUUCGGGUUGUAAAGCUCUUUCGGAUGUGAAGAUAAUGACAGUAGCAUAAGAAGAAGCUCCGGCUAAACUCGUGCCAGCAGCCGCGGUAAUACGAGUGGAGCGAGCGUUGUUCGGAAUCACUGGGCGUAAAGCGUACGCAGGCGGUCAUGAAAGUCAGGAGUGAAAUCCCAGGGCUUAACCCUGGAAUGGCUCUUGAAACUCCAUGACUAGAGUACUGGAGAGGUUGGCGGAAUUCCGAGUGUAGCAGUGAAAUGCGU